RNAcentral lists this ribosomal RNA (427 nucleotides) under uncultured Alphaproteobacteria bacterium. RNAcentral's name for it is "bacterial SSU rRNA". It matches the Rfam family "Bacterial small subunit ribosomal RNA", at positions 958 to 1385 of the family's 1533-position model. Lineage: Bacteria; Pseudomonadati; Pseudomonadota; Alphaproteobacteria. The record is from RNAcentral.
AACGCGAAGAACCUUACCAGCUUUUGACAUGUCCUGGACGGAUUGCAGAGAUGCGAUCUUCCCUUCGGGGCCGGGAACACAGGUGCUGCAUGGCUGUCGUCAGCUCGUGUCGUGAGAUGUUGGGUUAAGUCCCGCAACGAGCGCAACCCUCGCCCUUAGUUGCCAUCAUUCAGUUGGGCACUCCAGGGGGACUGCCGGUGAUAAGCCGGAGGAAGGUGGGGAUGACGUCAAGUCCUCAUGGCCCUUACAGGCUGGGCUACACACGUGCUACAAUGGCGGUGACAGCGGGAGGCGAAGGGGCGACCCUUAGCAAAUCUCGAAAAGCCGUCUCAGUUCGGAUUGCACUCUGCAACUCGAGUGCAUGAAGUUGGAAUCGCUAGUAAUCGCGGAUCAGCACGCCGCGGUGAAUACGUUCCCGGGCCUUGUA